This 497-nucleotide ribosomal RNA is filed under the name uncultured bacterium. Its description in RNAcentral is "partial 16S ribosomal RNA". It matches the Rfam family "Bacterial small subunit ribosomal RNA", at positions 28 to 507 of the family's 1533-position model. The record is from RNAcentral.
GAUGAACGCUGGCGGCGUGCCUAAUACAUGCGAGUCGAGCGAACAGACGAGGAGCUUGCUCCUCUGACGUUAGCGGCGGACGGGUGAGUAACACGUGGAUAACCUACCUAUAAGACUGGGAUAACUUCGGGAAACCGGAGCUAAUACCGGAUAAUAUAUUGAACCGCAUGGUUCAAUAGUGAAAGACGGUUUUGCUGUCACUUAUAGAUGGAUCCGCGCCGCAUUAGCUAGUUGGUAAGGUAACGGCUUACCAAGGCAACGAUGCGUAGCCGACCUGAGAGGGUGAUCGGCCACACUGGAACUGAGACACGGUCCAGACUCCUACGGGAGGCAGCAGUAGGGAAUCGUCCGCAAUGGGCGAAAGCCUGACGGAGCAACGCCGCGUGAGUGAUGAAGGUCUUCGGAUCGUAAAACUCUGUUAUUAGGGAAGAACAAAUGUGUAAGUAACUAUGCACGUCUUGACGGUACCUAAUCAGAAAGCCACGGCUAACUACGUG